RNAcentral lists this unclassified non-coding RNA (209 nucleotides) under Hevea brasiliensis (rubber tree). Lineage: Eukaryota; Viridiplantae; Streptophyta; Magnoliopsida; Malpighiales; Euphorbiaceae. The record is from RNAcentral.
GUUUGGCCACUCUUAAGUAUCAGGUGAUAUAACCUGAACUUGCUCUUUAAGUACAUAUUGCUCAUAUAAUCCUUCAUCCGAUAUAUAUGACAUUUAGUGGCAAAACCAAUAACAGUAAGGCUUAUUUUUCUUUCUUGGUUGCUUGUGCAAAUGAGUUUUUCUAAGAAACACGUUUUCCCAUUAUGCAGUUGCUUCGUAAUAGACUUGUU